UUCAUGAUCGAAGGUCUUUUCGAGGCCAUCCGAAUUUGAUGCUUUCUCCCGAUGUUCGAGCUUGGGGUCCGAACUUCUCAUUACUUUGAGGAAGUCUAUUUUCUCCUGCUAGUGUCGGGUUCCUCCUUAGAGACUGAGGAUUUUUGACAAGAGUUUUCUUCCUCAUUGAGAUGAGGUCCCUUGUGUCUUAGAUGUGGUUUGUUUUUUCUCUCAUUUCUAGCGUAGCUCAUCGCUUUCCCCUUUUCUCUAAUUCUAUUUUUUUUUAUGUUUGGGUGAGGAUUUUUCCUCUGCUCCUAACAGGGUUCUAGGGAUGUAGAGG
Molecule: long non-coding RNA, 319 nt
Filed under: Elaeis guineensis (African oil palm)
Lineage: Eukaryota; Viridiplantae; Streptophyta; Magnoliopsida; Arecales; Arecaceae
Description: long non-coding RNA (EGUI_LNC017133)
Source: RNAcentral